CUUUGUGUAGGCAGCAUUAUGGGAGAACAGAGACCAUUUGCAGUGAUGAAAGUAAGUAGGACCUCCCUGAUCGCCCUAGUAAAUAUCUCAUGCGUCAUGUCCAAAAAGAAUGUCAAGUGUGGAACGAGGAGAAAUGCUAAGCUUGCAAAUAGAUACAAUGUGUAGAGAUCUUGGCUCUCAAGAUAUGAUAGGUCUAGUAUUUUCAUACCAGGAGCAGAAACACGUGAAACACGAAAGCAAUGUGACAGUGUGAAGAUCUUAAGCGACAGUAUGAAACAUGUGGUCUUAUCAUUGUGGUGUAAUUAGCUUAUAACACUCAUGGAUUAUUGUACAUGCAUUCGAUCAUGGAAGGUUAUUUUCAGGUA
Brassica rapa (field mustard) is the source of this 365-nucleotide long non-coding RNA. RefSeq lists it as uncharacterized. Lineage: Eukaryota; Viridiplantae; Streptophyta; Magnoliopsida; Brassicales; Brassicaceae. The record is from RefSeq and is a predicted model, not a curated record.